This 73-nucleotide transfer RNA is filed under the name Elymus repens. RNAcentral's name for it is "tRNA-Lys". The stretch from base 9 to 73 matches the Rfam family "tRNA". Rfam says of the family: Transfer RNA (tRNA) molecules are approximately 80 nucleotides in length. Their secondary structure includes four short double-helical elements and three loops (D, anti-codon, and T loops). Lineage: Eukaryota; Viridiplantae; Streptophyta; Magnoliopsida; Poales; Poaceae. RNAcentral also lists the same sequence under 2 other names. The record is from RNAcentral.
UUUUAUCUGGGUUGCUAACUCAAUGGUAGAGUACUCGGCCGACUAGUUCCGGGUUCGAGUCCCGGGCAACCCA